GAGAGGUCCGCCUGCCUGUGACCACGUGUUUAACGGCCGCGGUAUUUUGACCGUGCAAAGGUAGCGCAAUCACUUGUCUUUUAAAUGGAGACCUGUAUGAAUGGCACGACGAGGGCUUAACUGUCUCCUUUUUCCAGUCAAUGAAAUUGAUCUCCCCGUGCAGAAGCGGGGAUAAAACCAUAAGACGAGAAGACCCUGUGGAGCUUUAGACACUAAGCCAGACUUUGUUAAGCACCCCUUUCAAAGGACUAAACUAAUUGCAACCUGGCCUGAUGUCUUUGGUUGGGGCGACCUCGGGGAAACAAAAAACCCCCGCGUGGAAUGGAAGAACUCCUCUUCUAGAACCAAGAGCUACCGCUCAAAUUGACAGAAUAUCUGACCAAUUACAGAUCCGGCUUUAACGCCGAUCAACGGACCGAGUUACCCCAGGGAUAACAGCGCAAUCCUCUUUUAGAGCCCAUAUCGACAAGAGGGUUUACGACCUCGAUGUUGGAUCAGGACAUCCUAAUGGUGCAGCCGCUAUUAAGGGUUCGUUUGUUCAACGAUUAAAGUCCUACGUGAUCUG
RNAcentral lists this ribosomal RNA (565 nucleotides) under Abudefduf sordidus (blackspot sergeant). RNAcentral's name for it is "partial 16S ribosomal RNA". It matches the Rfam family "Bacterial large subunit ribosomal RNA", at positions 1895 to 2607 of the family's 2925-position model. The record is from RNAcentral. Lineage: Eukaryota; Metazoa; Chordata; Actinopteri; Pomacentridae.